ACAAUUAGCUGUUGGGACACUAGAUGUCUUAGUAGCGAAGCUAACGCGUGAAAUUGUCCGCCUGGGGAGUACGGUCGCAAGAUUAAAACUCAAAGGAAUUGACGGGGACCCGCACAAGCGGUGGAUGAUGUGGAUUAAUUCGAUGCAACGCGAAGAACCUUACCUGGUCUUGACAUGUACGGAAUCUCUUAGAGAUAGGAGAGUGCCUUCGGGAGCCGUAACACAGGUGCUGCAUGGCUGUCGUCAGCUCGUGUCGUGAGAUGUUGGGUUAAGUCCCGCAACGAGCGCAACCCUUGUCAUUAGUUGCCAUCAUUAAGUUGGGCACUCUAAUGAGACUGCCGGUGACAAACCGGAGGAAGGUGGGGAUGACGUCAAGUCCUCAUGGCCCUUAUGACCAGGGCUUCACACGUCAUACAAUGGUCGGUACAGAGGGUAGCGAAGCCGCNAGGUGAAGCCAAUCUCAGAAAGCCGAUCGUAGUCCGGAUUGCACUCUGCAACUCGAGUGCAUGAAGUCGGAAUCGCUAGUAAUCGCAGGUCAGCAUACUGCGGUGAAUACGUUCCCGGUCU
This 567-nucleotide ribosomal RNA is filed under the name uncultured Neisseriaceae bacterium. Its description in RNAcentral is "bacterial SSU rRNA". It matches the Rfam family "Bacterial small subunit ribosomal RNA", at positions 812 to 1381 of the family's 1533-position model. Lineage: Bacteria; Pseudomonadati; Pseudomonadota; Betaproteobacteria; Neisseriales; Neisseriaceae. The record is from RNAcentral.